GACGAACGCUGGCGGCGUGCCUAAUACAUGCAAGUUGAGCGAUGAAGCUUGGUGCUUGCACCAAUUUGAAGAGCAGCGAACGGGUGAGUAACGCGUGGGGAAUCUGCCUUUGAGCGGGGGACAACAUUUGGAAACGAAUGCUAAUACCGCAUAACAACUUUAAACAUAAGUUUUAAGUUUGAAAGAUGCAAUUGCAUCACUCAAAGAUGAUCCCGCGUUGUAUUAGCUAGUUGGUGAGGUAAAGGCUCACCAAGGCGAUGAUACAUAGCCGACCUGAGAGGGUGAUCGGCCACAUUGGGACUGAGACACGGCCCAAACGCCUACGGGAGGCAGCAGUAGGGAAUCUUCGGCAAUGGACGAAAGUCUGACCGAGCAACGCCGCGUGAGUGAAGAAGGGUUUCGGAUCGUAAAACUCGGUUGGUAGAGAAGAACGUUGGUGAGAGUGGAAAGCUCAUCAAGUGACGGUAACUACCCAGAAAGGGACGGCUAACUACGUG
This 497-nucleotide ribosomal RNA is filed under the name uncultured bacterium. RNAcentral describes it as "partial 16S ribosomal RNA". It matches the Rfam family "Bacterial small subunit ribosomal RNA", at positions 28 to 507 of the family's 1533-position model. The record is from RNAcentral.